RNAcentral lists this long non-coding RNA (401 nucleotides) under Pan troglodytes (chimpanzee). Its description in RNAcentral is "lincRNA". Lineage: Eukaryota; Metazoa; Chordata; Mammalia; Primates; Hominidae. The record is from RNAcentral.
AUAUGGGGGUCUCACUUUGUUGCCUAGGCUGGAGUGUAAUGGUGAUUCUGACAAAUGAUCAUAGCAUGCUACAACCUCUACAUCCUGAGCUCAAGAGCUUCUCCUGCCUCAGCGUCCCAAGUAACUGGGACUACAGGUUCUCACUGUGUCACCCAGGCUGGAGUGCAGUGGCAUGAUCAUAGCUAAUGGUACAUCUUGAAUUUCUGGAGUCCAGAGAUCCUUCCCUCUCAGCCUCCCAAGUAGCUAGGACUAUAGGUGUACGCUACCUUGCCCCGCUUUCUUUGCUUUGGUAGACAGGGCUUCAACACAUCGCUGUUUAACUACAUUGCCAGCUGAUCUCCAGCUCCUGGCCUAAAGCAGUCUUCCCAUUUUGGCCUCCCAAAGUGCUGGGAUUGCAGGCA